GGCUGGUCCAAAGGUAGUGAGUUAUCUCAAUUGAUUGCUCACAGUCAGUUACAGAUCGAACUUCUUGUUCUACUCUUUUCCUCCUUCUCACUACUGCACUUGAGUAGUCUUAA
RNAcentral lists this Y RNA (113 nucleotides) under Cebus imitator (Panamanian white-faced capuchin). Its description in RNAcentral is "Y RNA (ENSCCAG00000002182.1)". It matches the Rfam family "Y RNA". From Rfam's summary of the family: Y RNAs are components of the Ro ribonucleoprotein particle (Ro RNP), in association with Ro60 and La proteins. The Y RNAs and Ro60 and La proteins are well conserved, but the function of the Ro RNP is not known. In humans the RNA component can be one of four small RNAs -- hY1, hY3, hY4 and hY5. Lineage: Eukaryota; Metazoa; Chordata; Mammalia; Primates; Cebidae. The record is from Rfam by way of RNAcentral.